AGCGGAAAGGCCCUUCGGGGUACUCGAGCGGCGAACGGGUGAGUAACACGUGAGUAAUCUGCCCUGCGCUCUGGGAUAGCCACCGGAAACGGUGAUUAAUACCGGAUAGGACCACUUCACGCAUGUGAUGGUGGUGGAAAGUUUUUUCGGCGCAGGAUGUGCUCGCGGCCUAUCAGCUUGUUGGUGAGGUAACGGCUCACCAAGGCUUUGACGGGUAACCGGCCUGAGAGGGUGACCGGUCACACUGGGACUGAGACACGGCCCAGACUCCUACGGGAGGCAGCAGUGGGGAAUAUUGGACAAUGGGCGGAAGCCUGAUCCAGCAACGCCGCGUGAGGGAUGACGGCCUUCGGGUUGUAAACCUCUUUCAGUACCGACGAAGCGCAAGUGACGGUAGGUACAGAAGAAGGACCGGCCAACUACGUGCCAGCAGCCGCGGUAAUACGUAGGGUCCGAGCGUUGUCCGGAAUUAUUGGGCGUAAAGGGCUCGUAGGCGGUUUGUCGCGUCGGGAGUGAAAACACCGGGCUUAACUCGGUGCUUGCUUUCGAUGCGGGCAGACUAGAGGUAUGCAGGGGAGAAUGGAAUUCCUGGUGUAGCGGUGAAAUGCGCAGAUAUCAGGAGGAACACCGGUGGCGAAGGCGGUUCUCUGGGCAUUACCUGACGCUGAGGAGCGAAGUGUGGGGAGCGAACAGG
This 694-nucleotide ribosomal RNA is filed under the name uncultured Actinomycetes bacterium. RNAcentral describes it as "bacterial SSU rRNA". It matches the Rfam family "Bacterial small subunit ribosomal RNA", at positions 65 to 776 of the family's 1533-position model. The record is from RNAcentral. Lineage: Bacteria; Bacillati; Actinomycetota; Actinomycetes.